RNAcentral lists this ribosomal RNA (252 nucleotides) under uncultured bacterium. RNAcentral describes it as "partial 16S ribosomal RNA". It matches the Rfam family "Bacterial small subunit ribosomal RNA", at positions 524 to 776 of the family's 1533-position model. The record is from RNAcentral.
GACGUAAGUGGCAAGCGUUAUCCGGAAUUAUUGGGUGUAAAGGGUAUGUAGGUGGUAAUGUAAGUCAAUGGUGAAAGUUCUAGGCUCAACCUAGUAAAGCUUUUGAUACUGCAUAACUAGAGUACAGGAGAGGAAAGUGGAAUUACCAGUGUAGCGGUGAAAUGCGUAGAUAUUGGUAGGAACGUCCAUGACGAAGGUAGCUUUCUGGACUGAUACUGACACUAAAAUACGAAAGCUAGGGGAGCAAACAGG